AAGAUUAUAGUUUAAAUUAAAACAUUUGAUUUGCAUUCAAAAAUUAUUGAUAAAUCAAUUUAUCUUA
RNAcentral lists this transfer RNA (67 nucleotides) under Trabala vishnou guttata. Its description in RNAcentral is "tRNA-Ala". It matches the Rfam family "tRNA". From Rfam's summary of the family: Transfer RNA (tRNA) molecules are approximately 80 nucleotides in length. Their secondary structure includes four short double-helical elements and three loops (D, anti-codon, and T loops). Lineage: Eukaryota; Metazoa; Arthropoda; Insecta; Lepidoptera; Lasiocampidae. The record is from RNAcentral.